This 406-nucleotide ribosomal RNA is filed under the name uncultured bacterium. Its description in RNAcentral is "partial 16S ribosomal RNA". It matches the Rfam family "Bacterial small subunit ribosomal RNA", at positions 360 to 773 of the family's 1533-position model. The record is from RNAcentral.
AAUAUUGCGCAAUGGAGGGAACUCUGACGCAGCGACGCCGCGUGAGCGAUGAAGGUCUUCGGAACGUCAAGCUCUGUCUUUGGGGCAGAAGGUCUUCGGACAUGACGGUAGCCAAGGAGGAAGCCCCGGCUAACUACGUGCCAGCAGCAGCGGUAAUACGUAGGGGGCAAGCGUUGUCCGGAAGGACUGGGCGUAAAGGGCGUGUAGGCGGCCGAUUAAGUCUGGAGUGAAAGUCCUGCUUUCAAGGUGGGAAUUGCUUCGGAUACUGGUUGGCUUGAGUGCGGAAGAGGUAAGUGGAAUUCCCAGUGUAGCGGUGAAAUGCGUAGAGAUUGGGAGGAACACCAGUGGCGAAGGCGACUUACUGGGCCGUAACUGACGCUGAGGCGCGAAAGCGUGGGGAGCGAAC